UACAGAGGUCCCGAGCGUUGUUCGGAUUCACUGGGCGUAAAGGGUGCGUAGGUGGCUGGGCAAGUUUGAUGUGAAAGCUCAGGGCUUAACCCUGAAAUGGCAUUGAAUACUGCCUGGCUGGAGGUUUGGAGGGGGGACUGGAAUUCUUGGUGUAGCAGUGAAAUGCGUAGAUAUCAAGAGGAACACCAGUGGCGAAGGCGAGUCCCUGGACAACACCUGACACUGAGGCACGAAAGCCGGGGGAGCAAACAGG
RNAcentral lists this ribosomal RNA (253 nucleotides) under uncultured bacterium. RNAcentral describes it as "partial 16S ribosomal RNA". It matches the Rfam family "Bacterial small subunit ribosomal RNA", at positions 524 to 776 of the family's 1533-position model. The record is from RNAcentral.